AACGAAUGCUGGCGGCAUGCCUAACACAUGCAAGUCGAACGAGACCUUCGGGUCUAGUGGCGCACGGGUGCGUAACGCGUGGGAACUUGCCCUUAGGUUCGGAAUAACUCCCCGAAAGGGGUGCUAAUACCGGAUAAUGUCUUCGGACCAAAGAUUUAUCGCCUUUGGAUGGGCCCGCGUUGGAUUAGCUAGUUGGUAGGGUAAAAGCCUACCAAGGCGACGAUCCAUAGCUGGUCUGAGAGGAUGAUCAGCCACACUGGGACUGAGACACGGCCCAGACUCCUACGGGAGGCAGCAGUGGGGAAUAUUGGACAAUGGGCGAAAGCCUGAUCCAGCAAUGCCGCGUGAGUGAUGAAGGCCUUAGGGUUGUAAAGCUCUUUUACCCGGGAUGAUAAUGACAGUACCGGGAGAAUAAGCUCCGGCUAACUCCGUG
This 433-nucleotide ribosomal RNA is filed under the name uncultured bacterium. Its description in RNAcentral is "partial 16S ribosomal RNA". It matches the Rfam family "Bacterial small subunit ribosomal RNA", at positions 29 to 507 of the family's 1533-position model. The record is from RNAcentral.